CUAGUAUCGAAUACUGGUAAUAAUAUCAGCAAAAGAACGUUCUCCUUUGCUUCCAGACAUGCAGAGCUCCAUAUUCGUGUACAGUCAAAAAAAAAGAGGAUUGAUUCCGUAAAAGAUGAGAUCAGUAAAUGGGAAUUCUAUCAGGAAA
Juglans microcarpa x Juglans regia is the source of this 148-nucleotide long non-coding RNA. RefSeq lists it as uncharacterized. NCBI's taxonomy places the organism in Eukaryota, Viridiplantae, Streptophyta, Magnoliopsida, Fagales, Juglandaceae. The record is from RefSeq and is a predicted model, not a curated record. The transcript has 3 exons.